Molecule: ribosomal RNA, 497 nt
Filed under: uncultured bacterium
Lineage: Bacteria
Description: partial 16S ribosomal RNA
Rfam family: Bacterial small subunit ribosomal RNA
Source: RNAcentral
GAUGAACGCUGGCGGCGUGCCUAAUACAUGCAAGUCGAGCGAACGGACGAUAAGCUUGCUUUUCUGAUGUUAGCGGCGGACGGGUGAGUAACACGUGGAUAACCCAGCUAUAAGACUGGGAUAACUUCGGGAAACCGGAGCUAAUACCGGAUAAUAUUUUGAACCGGAUGGUUCAAAAGUGAAAUACGGUUUUGCUGACACCUAUAGAUGUAUCCGCGCUGGAUUAGUUAGUUGGUAAGGUAACGGCUUACCAAGGCAACGAUGCAUAGCUGACCUGGGAGGGUGAUCGGCCACACUGGAAGUGAGACACGGUCCAGACUCCUAGGGGAGGCAGCAGUAGGGAAGCUUCCGCGAUGGGCGGAAGCCUGACGGAGCAACGCCGCGUGAGUGAUGAAGGUCUUCGGAUCGUAAAACUGUGUUAUUAGGGAAGAACAUUUGUGUAAGUAACUGUGCACAUCUUGACGGUACCUAAUCAAAAAGCCACGGCUAACUACGUG